This 303-nucleotide ribosomal RNA is filed under the name uncultured bacterium. Its description in RNAcentral is "partial 16S ribosomal RNA". It matches the Rfam family "Bacterial small subunit ribosomal RNA", at positions 507 to 807 of the family's 1533-position model. The record is from RNAcentral.
AGCAGUAGCCACGGUAAUACGAAGGGUGCAAGCGUUACUCGGAAUUACUGGGCGUAAAGCGUGUGUAGGUGGUUGUUUAAGUCUGUCGUGAAAGCCCUGGGCUCAACCUGGGAAUUGCGAUGGAUACUGGGCGACUAGAGUGCGGUAGAGGAUAGUGGAAUUUCCGGUGUAGCAGUGAAAUGCGUAGAGAUCGGGAGGAACAUCAGUGGCGAAGGCGGCCAUCUGGGACAACACUGACGCUGAGGCACGAAAGCGUGGGGAGCAAACAGGAUUAGAUACCCCCGUAGUCCCUGUCUCUUAUAC